Non-coding RNA from Chrysemys picta bellii (western painted turtle), 1852 nucleotides. NCBI's taxonomy places the organism in Eukaryota, Metazoa, Chordata, Testudines, Emydidae. The record is from RefSeq and is a predicted model, not a curated record.
UAGUCUCUAAGGUGCCACAAGUACUCCUGUUCUUUUUACUAAUACAGUAGUAGCAGCAUUUCACUAGGAAGGAGUACAGAAUUUUAAGCCGGGACCCAGAAGAGUGCUCCAGGGUACUGUUCUGAUGGAGAUUACAGCUUUCACAGAACAGUUAAAACUUAGCCCUUCACCACAUAGAGAGCCAAACUUCCAAAGUGGUGGAAUAAACCCUCUGUCAUAGUUAAAUUCCAGCUUGCUGAAUUGCAAUUCAUCCUACAUAAUAUUAUUAUCAGUUUCAAUUGAAUGACAAUUUUCCUUUCUAAAUUGCUGCAUAAUGAGUGUGAGACAGUUGUUGCCUAAGUUCAGGCAUAGCUGAAACAAUAUCUGUAUGUAAGUGUUUUGCUGUUGUAUCGUACACAUAUACUGGAUAAACUAAAAUUCUGGGUUUAUACCUACAUGAUAGAACUCCAUUCAGUUUUAUGAAAGGAUUGCGGUCAUCUCACAAGAAAGGAUCAUUUAUUACAGUUGGAGACAAAUUAUACAGGUAAGGGAUAUUGAAAUCCUUAUACAGAGCUAAAAACAAGCAUUACUAAUUUGAAUUAAGAUAAGCAGUCAGACUAGUUCUUGCAUCUAGAACUUCUGCUUCAUGUCCGACAACCCACUAGUUUUAUUUUAAAAACGACAGCAAGGCAAACCUAUCAUUUUGAUCCAAUAACUUGUACAGGUAGAAAAGAGAAUAUAUGUAACUUGCUCCUGUAGAAAGCUUACUACAAUUCGCUAUUCUUCUGUGCAGCAGUUACAGGAAACCUAAUUUGUGGAGACAUACAAAUACCAUGUUUGCAAACAUUAGAAAUAACUAGAGUUGCAUUUAACAGGCCCUUGCACGGCACAUAAUAAAGCUAUACAAAGACCAUUUCUGCUAAAAUACUUAGUAUUUUAAGAUUUAUCUACCAUCAGGACAGUUGAGAUAUAUUUACUUACCAUAAAACUGUCUAUUUAAUAUCUGUGAAAUUUCAGAUUUGCUGAACUUGUCAGGAUUCUUUUUGCACCAACUGCUUGUAAUGGCUGAGGCAGAAGGUAUGAAAAUUGACACUCUCCCAAUCGGAAGGGAGUCUUAAUGCAUCUCCUGGGUAAGAUGGCUGUAUAUCACUCCUUUUCACCAUAUAUCUACCCAACAGAGGACAAGAAGGAUACAAGAGUAAGUAAAGCAGCUUGUGAUGUGGAGGUUAUUGUACCCCUGGAGCAUAAGUUUUUGGAAACACAAGAAACAGGUUAGUCAUAGCUUUUUUAAAUUUAUUUAUUUAUUGAACUUCCAAGCUGUGUUUACAUAUAACAGUUACCAGGAAAGGAAAAGAAUGUAGGUAUUCCAUUUUAUAUCCUAGGGAAAGGAACACUGUCAGGAAAACUCCUAAUCUGUCUUAUUAGUGACAAGAUUUAAACCACUAGUUCACUUAAUAGUAUGUUGGUUAUUUUUUGCAUUUCUUUCAGCAACGACAGUGAAAUUAGACUUUUUUUUUUUGCUUUAUGCUUCUCAUGCAGCAGCAGAAUGCUAUUUUAGGAGUUUCCAGCACUGUAAGACGCGAUAAAAACAAGCAAGGUUCCCUCCACCAUGUUUUGCCAUGAAAAACAUUUCCAUUCAUUUUAGAUUUUGUAGAGUUAAAAAAAAAAAAAAAAAAAAACCUCUGAAGGUCCCACAGUAAAAUUAGAGAACAUAUGACUAAUGAUCUCUGAUAUAUUAUCUCAUCCCCUACCAGGGAUUUUCCUCUAAAUCAGCUCCCCCUCUCUUUUUGUGGUAAUCUAUCACUGGGUGAAAUCCUGACCCCAUUAAAGUUAAUGGCAGUUUUGCCAUUGAUUUCAGUGGGUCAGGAUUUCA